UAGGAUCUGUGAGCGACCAGUUCAGCUC
RNAcentral lists this non-coding RNA (28 nucleotides) under Mus musculus (house mouse). Lineage: Eukaryota; Metazoa; Chordata; Mammalia; Rodentia; Muridae. The record is from RNAcentral.